This 27-nucleotide non-coding RNA is filed under the name Homo sapiens (human). The record is from RNAcentral. Lineage: Eukaryota; Metazoa; Chordata; Mammalia; Primates; Hominidae.
UGGAUGUCUAGGAAAGAAGCUUUUCCA